RNAcentral lists this ribosomal RNA (468 nucleotides) under uncultured bacterium. RNAcentral describes it as "partial 16S ribosomal RNA". It matches the Rfam family "Bacterial small subunit ribosomal RNA", at positions 28 to 507 of the family's 1533-position model. The record is from RNAcentral.
GACGAACGCUGGCGGCGUGCUUAACACAUGCAAGUCGAACGGAAAGGCCCUGCUUUUGUGUGGUUCUCGAGUGGCGAACGCGUGCGUAACACGUGUGUAACCUGCCCUUGACUUUUGGCUAACUUCAGGUAACUGGGGCUAAUACCGGAUAGGAGCCCCUGCUGCAUGGUGGGGGUUGGAUAGUUUCGGCUGUUGGGGAUGGACUCGCGGCUUAUCAGCUUGUUGGUGGGGGAGUGGCUUACCAAGGCUUUGACGGGUAGCCGGCCUGAGAGGGUGACCGGCCACAUUGGGACGGAGAUACGGCCCAGACGCCGACGGGAGGCAGCAGGGGGGAAUAUUGCACAAUGAGCGGAAGCCUGAUGCAGCAACGCCGGGUGCGGGAUGACGGCCUUCGGGUUGUAAACCGCUGUCGGCUGUGACGAAGCGUGAGUGACGGUAAUGGGUAAAGAAGCACCGGCUAACUACGUG